This 72-nucleotide transfer RNA is filed under the name Sphaerodactylus townsendi. RNAcentral describes it as "tRNA-Ala". It matches the Rfam family "tRNA". From Rfam's summary of the family: Transfer RNA (tRNA) molecules are approximately 80 nucleotides in length. The record is from RNAcentral. Lineage: Eukaryota; Metazoa; Chordata; Lepidosauria; Squamata; Sphaerodactylidae.
GGCUCUGUGGCUCAGUGACAGGGCCUCUGCUUUGCAUGCAGAAGGUCCCAGGUUCAAUUACCGGCAUCUCCA